This 170-nucleotide small RNA is filed under the name Gopherus agassizii (Agassiz's desert tortoise). Its description in RNAcentral is "TUC338 (ENSGAGG00000008148.1)". The record is from RNAcentral. Lineage: Eukaryota; Metazoa; Chordata; Testudines; Testudinidae.
CUGACAGCCCCGGAGAAUGUUGCCCCCUCACCAUAAAGCUGGCAUAUCAUGGGCACCAUCAGUGCAAGCUCCUCCCCACACUGCCCAGCCAUUGCACCUCCCCUCUGCCCUGGAAGGGUGACAGGGAGAGAAGAAUUGCAUCUCUGUGGGCCAUUCGGUUUUUGGCCAAC